CGUCUUGUCGAUCUAGAUUGUAAAUGUGCCUGAUGGCUCACUUUACAAAAGCUUCCUAUGAUCAAUGCCAGCAGUUUACGGAUCAUAUCCUUUACUGCAUAAGGAGAGUUAGUACAAUUAUGCUGAAACUUAUAACCUCAAGUGAUAGUUCUUGCUAAAAGUUAUGUAAACAUGCUCCGGAAAAUUUAGCAUUUGAUACUGAGAAGUACCGUCUUGUCGAACUAGAUUGUAAAUGUGCCUGAUGGCUCACUUUACAAAAGCUUCCUAUGAUCAAUGCCAGCAGUUUACGGAUCAUAUCCUUUACUGCAUAAGGAGAGUUAGUACAAUUAUGCUGAAACUUAUAACCUCAAGUGAUAGUUCUUGCUAAAAGUUAUGUAAACAUGCUCCGGAAAAUUUAGCAUUUGAUACUGAGAAGUACCGUCUUGUCGAUCUAGAUUGUAAAUGUGCCUGAUGGCUCACUUUACAAAAGCUUCCUAUGAUCAAUGCCAGCAGUUUACGGAUCAUAUCCUUUACUGCAUAAGGAGAGUUACUACAAUGAUGCUGAAACUUAUAACCUCAAGUGAUAGUUCUUGCUAAAAGUCUUAUUCAGCAAGGGUAGUUGAUUAUGUUUUUUUUAGUUGCAGUUCUCCUUUUCACAAUUGUUCUUUUCCCUAAAGCCUAAGGCGUGCAUACGUCUUUGUAUUCAUCAUCGAGGCGUACAAUUUUGUAGCCCAUGAAGUAGUGAAACAAACAUAGUACGUAGAUGAUUAACCUGGCAAAAAUGUCAGGGUGCAAAGAUGUAAUGACAAAAAUUUUAAUUUAGGUUCUCUCAAUCUGAAAAAUGUCUAUAUUAAUUAACUAUUUG
This 844-nucleotide long non-coding RNA is filed under the name Triticum aestivum (bread wheat). Its description in RNAcentral is "long non-coding RNA (TAES_LNC023353)". The record is from RNAcentral. Lineage: Eukaryota; Viridiplantae; Streptophyta; Magnoliopsida; Poales; Poaceae.